Long non-coding RNA from Felis catus (domestic cat), 941 nucleotides. RefSeq lists it as uncharacterized. The transcript is spliced from 3 exons. NCBI's taxonomy places the organism in Eukaryota, Metazoa, Chordata, Mammalia, Carnivora, Felidae. The record is from RefSeq and is a predicted model, not a curated record.
CUUUUAAAUAGUGUUUCUUCUCAUUUUUUUUCCUUAGUAAAAACCAAUUUGUAGAUAAAAAGGUUUUCUUAAAUACUGAAUCCUAAAAUUGCCUACACUAUCUUAUAGAUCCUAAAAUACAAAACACAAAAUAUAAACAAUAAAAGCCUUAUAACCAACGCCACCGUGGGGGGAGUGGAAAGGAGAAAGUCAGAAAAAUAUACAAAGCAGUGAAAGGCUGGAUGUGUGAAAGAUGCCAAAGGGGAGCGGGGGAGGGUUUCAUGAGGUUCUAGGCAAGGCCUGUGAUGACGUCACCUCACAUCCAUAAUGUUACAGCAGUCAGCACAGGCCUCCUGCUUUCCUAUUGGUGAACACCGUGUCAGCCGACAUCAGAAGAUAAUCAUCAUUGGCCAGACAAUUACAACUGGAGCAACUAGCAUCCACCGCUGUUAGCACAAACCUGGCAGGCUGCUGAAAGAGAAGGCUGAGCCCAGCUGCCCUUCUCACUCAAUGAAUUUUUAUGUCGCCUUGCCUUACCAGUCACCAUGUGAUUUUGCUUCCUUGCAAGCAGCACUUAUAAAUUAAAUCAGCUAUUAGUGAAAAUAACAGGUCACAGAAGAUGAUCAUCUGCUGCUCAUGGAGACUUCCCUUACAUGACUAACAGAAGAGGCAUAUCCCCUUCCCACCUGCAAGUCAUUUAGGAGCAAUAACACUCUUCCACCCAGAUGAGAAUAUUGAUGUUCAAAAGGAUGAGUGACUUACUCAAAGACACGAAGUUAUAAAGUGUGAAGUUCAGGAUUCUAACUCAAGACCAUUAAGAUGAAAAGACUGCAUUUUAUUUCUUCCACGAUGACAUGCAUGCUAAGAAUGUAUUCUCAUUUAACAAUUACAGAGUAUCUGCCAAGUGUGGAGAACUGUUCUAGAGGCUGGUUUUUAGGAAAUAAAGAAAUUCAUCUGCUGGA